CUGAGCGAGGCGACCUCCUCCUCCCACUGAAGCCGUCGUCGUCGUCGUCGUCGUCGUCGUUUGUUGCUUCUUGCCUGCUCGUAGGAUUUGUGCUUUGCCUUGUUUCCUUCUGGUGGCACUGGCAUGCUGGUAACAUUAUGCUUGUUCGUAGUCCUAGAGGGUUGUUCAGUUGCUGGGUAACCUGCUUGUUUAUCUUGCACUGAUGCUGAUGUAAUGGUGGUCUGUUUAUCUAAAUGGAAUGCAAUUUGCUAUCGAAAUAUCUCAAUCCCGUUAUCUUGUUCGGUUACUCCCCAAUGUUUGCAAGUUAAAAUCUCUCAAUCCCUUCAGAUCCUCUCCAAUUUGUUUGGACUAGGGGAUUAGCUGAACAAGCUUACGGGGAUGCUAAAUCUGGGAUUACUUUUAAUUCUCUGAAUAUAUGUGUAUUCUAUUCUAUCCAGUGCAUUGUUUGGAUAGGUUAAAUGCAGCAUUUUGUCCUCGUUGG
This 481-nucleotide long non-coding RNA is filed under the name Sorghum bicolor (sorghum). RNAcentral's name for it is "long non-coding RNA (SBIC_LNC007215)". Lineage: Eukaryota; Viridiplantae; Streptophyta; Magnoliopsida; Poales; Poaceae. The record is from RNAcentral.